This 56-nucleotide ribosomal RNA is filed under the name Ailuropoda melanoleuca (giant panda). The record is from RNAcentral. Lineage: Eukaryota; Metazoa; Chordata; Mammalia; Carnivora; Ursidae.
GUCUACGGCCAUACCACCCUGAACGCGCCCGAUCUCGUCUGAUCUCGGAAGCUAAG